Long non-coding RNA from Talpa occidentalis (Iberian mole), 1652 nucleotides. RefSeq lists it as uncharacterized. The transcript is spliced from 3 exons. NCBI's taxonomy places the organism in Eukaryota, Metazoa, Chordata, Mammalia, Eulipotyphla, Talpidae. The record is from RefSeq and is a predicted model, not a curated record.
CCUGCCACCUGAUCAGACACACAAGUGUCUCAGUCUGACUCCCAGAAGGAUUGCUCUAACCGCCACUCCCACCAGUUCCAAGUUCAUCUCUACUGGGAUUUCUCUCAAAAGUGUUUGGAGAUUAACUUUUAAAAGUCAUUAAAAGGAUAAACACUCAGAGAAAAGGAGGGAGGUAGGCGAAAGGUGUUGCAAGAUUUCAAAGCUACCAAGUUCACACAGAGCAACUGCUCUGAAGCCAGAGUUAUGGACUUGGUCUUUAAUAUUACUUGACAUAGCAUGUGGAGGGAGACACCACUGGAAUUACACUCAUCUGCGAUGCACCAUUUACACAGUAUCCACCUUGUUACUGAGAACAACUGUGAAAUGUUCAGGCACUACUUGGUGUUGAUCUCUACAAAGCCCUGCUGCCUAUUCAGAAACUGGAGAUGCUGUGGGUGGCAGUUCAAUGACAGUGCUGUCCCAGCCUGCCUCUGAUGGGAGAUAUAAACACCUUUGGUCUUGACCACUGGCUGAAGGAUGUCAGGACCAUCAAAUCUCAAGGCCAUCUGACCUUCCUGGAGGGCAUGUCACAGCCAUUAAGUACUCUUUCCUCGCAGAAGCCAAAAGGGUUUUCUUUCUCUAGCCUCAAAAAGGCUCCAUUUGUGCAUGACGUCUCAUUAUCGUUCUAGAAGAUCUAUUUAAUUUCCCCUAAGUCUUUAGGGGAAAUUGAUGGGAGGCAUGAUGGAUCAUCAGGCUGCCAGUGGCCAGAUAUGAGCCUCCCUGCUAGGAAUUCCCAGGAGGCACUGAAGGGAGCCUGAAACUGCCAUGUUCAGAAGUGUUCAGCCUCAGGAUGCACCUGGACUGCAGAGACCACUGAGCACAGAGAUUCUGACCUAGAACAAGCCCAGGAUGUCACAAACAAGAUUCCCAAGGAGUAUCAGAUGAAUAAGGAGCAGUGGAGCAGGGAUCACAGUCUCUUUUCUUCCCUACCUGAAACACGGCCUAUAGACUUCUGUCCUAAUUCACAAGGUGUGGCCAGAGCUGACCAACCAGUGGAGAUCUAGGCCACGUUGACCCCAGGAUGAACCUGAAGCAGCUGUCUUCCAGAGGGAAGCCUCAGAGGCUCUAAAGGCUGAAUAAUCGCCUCAAGUCACAGAGCUCUGGGGCGCCUGACAGGGCUGAAUCCUGUCUUCUCCACCUCAAGUCCGAGAUCCUUCUGCUGCUCCAUGUGGCCCUCUAAACUUCACACUCUGAUUUCCCUCCUCCCCAGCCCCAGCCUAGUGCACACACAGAAAACCUCGAAUACACAGAUCACCAAACUAAUCUACAGAUGCUGCUAUUUCAAUGCUCAGUCCCCAAAGAUCUCAACAAGUGGCUAAAUAACAAGAGCUAUUUAGCAAAGGCAGAUUUUAGAGGAGUUUACGGAUUGUCUUUGAGAUCAAAAUCACAUUUCUCACAGCGUGAGAAUGUGCCCAUUUUGGAGAGAGGGAUGCAGAGGCCAAGGAGUGCAGUGACUUGUUAAAGCUUCCAAGCCCCUUGCCUGUGGCCGAGCCAGCACUCGAACUUUGACAUCUGAUUUGAAAACCUGCAUGUUUCUACUUCCUCCCUCUCAGCCUAAUUAGCCCUGUCACAAAUGGUGCUGCCAUUACUCUGUCCCAAUCUGCUGCAUUAAA